UUGGAGGGCAAGUCUGGUGCCAGCAGCCGCGGUAAUUCCAGCUCCAAUAGCGUAUAUUAAAGUUGUUGCAGUUAAAAAGCUCGUAGUUGAAUUUCGGGAUUGACGUGAUGGUCAUGCCUUAAGGGGUAUGAACUGUUACUGUUGAUUUCUCACCUUCUGGAGAAACUUGAUGUCCUUUAUUGGGUGUCUUGCGGAUCCAGGACCUUUACCUUGAAAAAAUUAGGGUGUUUAAAGCAGGCAUUUUUUGCUCGAAUACAUUAGCAUGGAAUAAUAGAAUAGGACGGCAUGGUUCUAUUUUGUUGGUUUCUAGGAUCACCGUAAUGAUUAAUAGGGAUAGUUGGGGGCAUUAGUAUUCAAUUGUCAGGGGUGAAAUUCUUGGAUUUAUUGAAGACUAACUACUGCGAAAGCAUUUGCCAAGGAUGUUUUCAUUAAUCAAGAACGAAAGUUAGGGGAUCGAAGACGAUCAGAUACCGUCGUAGUCUUAACCAUAAACUAUGCCGACUAGGAAUCAGACGAUGUUAAUUUUUUAAUGACUCGUUUGGCACCUUACGGGAAACCAAAGUGUUUGGGUUC
This 573-nucleotide ribosomal RNA is filed under the name uncultured Glomeromycotina. RNAcentral's name for it is "SSU rRNA". It matches the Rfam family "Eukaryotic small subunit ribosomal RNA", at positions 548 to 1114 of the family's 1831-position model. The record is from RNAcentral. Lineage: Eukaryota; Fungi; Glomeromycota.